This 1351-nucleotide long non-coding RNA is filed under the name Chrysemys picta bellii (western painted turtle). RNAcentral's name for it is "lncRNA (ENSCPBG00000014741.1)". Lineage: Eukaryota; Metazoa; Chordata; Testudines; Emydidae. The record is from RNAcentral.
GGUCCUCUGAGCUUGAUCGUGUUUGGCAUCUCAUGAGUGGAACUUCACAGCCCUGCAAUUGACACCAUGUUAAGUACAGUGGGGGCUGUUUAAUUUCCUAGUGCCUGAUUUUCAGAAAUGCUGAGUUUGGAAUCCGUUGAAACUGGAGGCUCAGCACCUUGGGUGGAGGGGUGGGAGAGAAGAAAAGUCAGACCCCUGAUUGUUUGGGGUGAGCCACCUUCUUGUAGAAAUCCCCAGGAUCACUGACCACACCACUGCAGUUGAGGUUGUUAGGGGUGGAGAGACUGAUCACAGAAAUAACCGCAUAUAUCUGGGCNNNNNNNNNNCUAACUGGUGUCUCAGCUCAAAGGCAUCUCUAUCUCCGGCUGAAAAUCAGGGUUGAACAAAGGAGCAGUCUGAGAAAGGCACAGUCAAGAUGUUUGAAAAACUCCAGAAUAUGUAGUUCAGAACCGUCGCAUUCUUCAGUGCAAGGGGAGCAGGAAUAGAAGAUCUCCGUGUGAAGUGGAUUUCUGAAGUGGCUCCAGACCGUGGUGAAAGGAUGGCUGGGCCCCAUCUGCCCCCCUUCACUGCCGCCCUGGGACUGGCAUUGCUUGGUGUCCUGGUCUUCCUCUCAGCCCUGUGUGCUGCCUGCAGAAGGAAAGCUAGGAAGAAGGUGGUCCCACCGGAUGGGGUGAAGCUGGUAGAUGUGUCGUUGCUGAGGCAGAUGCAGCUCCGAUCGCUCAGUAAAUCUGACACCAAACUGCAUGAGCUCAACAGGGUGAAGCGCACGGACGAGCACCAAAGACCAGCCAGCGUGGAUUUCCUUUACCCAUCAGGGUCUUUGGGGGAUGGAGAAGGAGCCGUGCAUAGCUCGAGCUUCAGCAUCCUGCUGCACCGAGAGCUGCCCCAGAUCCCCAAUUCCAACCCUUCGGCUGACGCCCUGAGUCCUGACCAGACCUACUCAAACGUGUCCUUCUUAGCCCCGCUGAAACCAGCCCCGGAGGCGCUGUACGAGUGUGCGGCCGUGACUCAGGAAGGGCCUCAACCGAUGCCCAUCUUGGGAACCCCAAUGGAGGCUUCCCCUCUAAGCGAGGAGGACAAGGCAGUGACGGCUGAGUAUGCCUGUGUCCGCAAGGUGAAGAAGAAUUUCCAGCCAGAGCUCCAGGAUGAGACACAGGGCGAAUCCUCCGUGGGGCCUGCAGACCCAGAAGGCUGGGAAGGAGCUGCCUGUAACCCCGCAGCGGUGAAGCUUUCUGGCUCCAGCGUCCGCCGGGGUUUCCUGGACUGUUGCUGGCUGGUCCGUGGCAGCAUCUCCAGCCGGCCCUGGCGAAGAUUGUGCAUUUACAGGGACCAGAAGGCAAAGGAGCAUUAA